RNAcentral lists this ribosomal RNA (429 nucleotides) under uncultured Comamonadaceae bacterium. Its description in RNAcentral is "bacterial SSU rRNA". It matches the Rfam family "Bacterial small subunit ribosomal RNA", at positions 356 to 777 of the family's 1533-position model. The record is from RNAcentral. Lineage: Bacteria; Pseudomonadati; Pseudomonadota; Betaproteobacteria; Burkholderiales; Comamonadaceae.
GGGGAAUUUUGGACAAUGGGCGCAAGCCUGAUCCAGCCAUUCCGCGUGCAGGACGAAGGCCCUCGGGUUGUAAACUGCUUUUGUACGGAACGAAAAGCCUUGGGCUAAUACCCCGAGGUCAUGACGGUACCGUAAGAAUAAGCACCGGCUAACUACGUGCCAGCAGCCGCGGUAAUACGUAGGGUGCAAGCGUUAAUCGGAAUUACUGGGCGUAAAGCGUGCGCAGGCGGUCUUGUAAGACAGAGGUGAAAUCCCCGGGCUCAACCUGGGAACUGCCUUUGUGACUGCAAGGCUGGAGUGCGGCAGAGGGGGAUGGAAUUCCGCGUGUAGCAGUGAAAUGCGUAGAUAUGCGGAGGAACACCGAUGGCGAAGGCAAUCCCCUGGGCCUGCACUGACGCUCAUGCACGAAAGCGUGGGGAGCAAACAGGA